UGGGCGGCUUCUUCCGGGCCUUAAAAAGCCAGGCCAGCCCCCUCCCUCGACCCCCUCCCCUCCACUGCGGCAGCACGCAGGCUGCUUGGAGAGGUGACAAAAAAUUAAAAUUAAAGCUAAAUUAAAAGGAAGAUUCCCAUUUCCUCUCCCCAUCACACUUUCCACCUUAAUUUUAUCGCAUCUUCCCUCUCGUUUUAUUGACUUUUAGAAGCAUUGCCACAAGAUUUAGUGUGGAGCGGGAGGGGAGGUAAUAAAUGCGGUGCUGCUCUUGCCUCCAAUUAAUGCCGCCAGGGGGUGCGGGGAGGAGGGAGGGGAGGGGGAGGGCCGCCCCUGGGCGUGAAGCUCCCAGGAAGCUCCAGGAGCGCCCAGGUCCGGGAGACAACUGAAGGUGAGGGCGAUGGUCGCUUCUGGCUUUUGUCCCCUCCCUGGGCCCGUUUCCUGGUGGCCCAGAGAAAAAGACUCAUUGUGAACUGUGCCAAUCAGACCAGAAAACAGAAAUCAGAAUUUAGUCUCCUCGGUCUGGUUGUACAAACUCCCGAGCUCUCCCCUCCCCCAAACCCCACCCAGAUUUCCUGGGAUGAAGAUUCCCCACCUACCAAACAGAUCUUUAUUUAAUUUUAUUUUAUUUCACGCUCUGUUGGUGCAAGGCAGGUUCCCCUCCCCACCCUCCCUCCUUCCUUCCUCUAUUUAUUUUUUCCUGCGCCCCCCAUCUCUAAUAUCAUUUUCACCCACCCACAGCGACGCUGCGUGUUUGUAAUUUUCUUCUGACCCUAAUGGCUCCAGUUUCCCCUCAGUAUUUAAGCAGAACAAGACAGAGCAGUGUGACCCUGGGCCCAUCCCCUACUCUGUGAGCAGAGUUCUCAGAACUUAGUGAGAAAAAUGGAAGUGCUGGCCCUGUCCUGGCUCCUGGAAGCUGCUCAGCCCAGCCCGCACCUCCUCCGGGCAGGACUCCACAGCCUCCUCUGGGCUCGCCGAAAACCCUGUCCUUGCCUCAACAGUGAGCUCCUCAUGGCAGAAGGUAAGGGAGGGUUUAAAUCCAUGGUCAGGGGUUUUCUCCAAGAGCAGGAGCCAUGCUCCUCCCCUGGGCCCUCAGCCUGGGGCCCCAGAGCAGGUGGACACUCCGACUGCUUUACUGUCCUCUCUGCACCUCAUCUCCACACAUGCGGGCGUAGAGAGGGAGUGGGGGGACAUCCACACCAUGUGACAUUUGUGUGGCCCUUGCUAUACACGAGUCCUUCUAGCGUGGGUCUCACCUUGACAACAACCUCCCAAGGCAGGUACUCUGAGUUCCUUCUUCAGAAAAAUUCACCCCCUCCCAGGUGGACACCAGGGGAUCUGCUUCCCAUUGUCCUUGCCUCUUCUAUGGCCACCCUUCGGGCUGCCAAGCCUUCCCAUCUCUGGCACAGUCUUGGCUCUUUUACCCUUUCCCCCCAUUUCUGUCAUGUCCCAGAUCUGGGGCGCGGGGCGGGGGGUUGAUCAACAGGCCUGACGAUGAGACAGUGAAGCCUGACCCCUUCCCCGAGUGCAGGCCUUCGUGCAUCCUGAACUCAUCCUGAGGCUUAGGGAGCCCCCUCUCCGCUGAGCAGGC
This 1588-nucleotide long non-coding RNA is filed under the name Sus scrofa (pig). Its description in RNAcentral is "lncRNA (ENSSSCG00030047526.1)". Lineage: Eukaryota; Metazoa; Chordata; Mammalia; Artiodactyla; Suidae. The record is from RNAcentral.